RNAcentral lists this ribosomal RNA (449 nucleotides) under uncultured bacterium. RNAcentral describes it as "partial 16S ribosomal RNA". It matches the Rfam family "Bacterial small subunit ribosomal RNA", at positions 29 to 523 of the family's 1533-position model. The record is from RNAcentral.
AACGAACGCUGGCGGCAGGCCUAACACAUGCAAGUCGAGCGAGGUAGCAAUACCUAGCGGCGGACGGGUGAGUAACCCGUGGGAACGUGCCCCUUGGUACGGAAUAGCCCCGGGAAACUGGGAGUAAUACCGUAUGAGCUCUACGGAGGGAAGUUUGAUCGCCAAGGGAUCGGCCCGCGUGGGAUUAGGUAGUUGGUGGGGUAAUGGCCUACCAAAGCGACGAUCGAUAGCUGGUUUGAGAGGAUGGUCAGCCACACUGGGACUGAGACACGGCCCAGACUCCUACGGGAGGCAGCAGUGGGGAAUCUUAGACAAUGGGCGCAAGCCUGAUCUAGCCAUGCCGCGUGAGCGAUGAAGGCCUUAGGGUUGUAAAUCUCUUUCGUGGGGGACGAUAAUGACGGUACCCCAAGAAGAAGCUCCGGCUAACUUCGUGCCAGCAGCCGCGGUAA